Molecule: long non-coding RNA, 1147 nt
Organism: Protopterus annectens (West African lungfish)
Lineage: Eukaryota; Metazoa; Chordata; Ceratodontiformes; Protopteridae
Exons: 3
Source: RefSeq, a predicted model, not a curated record
CAUUUAAUUACCACCAUCCUGAAGUGUCCAGAAGGUGUUGUUUUAGAUCCAUUUCUUCUUCCCUAAGCUCUAAUUCAUGAUAUUAGCAUUCCCAGUAAUGCACUGCAUCUUCUGUUGCAACCUCCAACCUCGUGACGUCUUCGGCCGACGUUCCUGUUGCAUUCUGGGUAAUGGAAUGUUGAAACGGCCCUGGGAGCUUAGGGAACCCUUGUGGAGCUCUAAAUAAGGCCUCAACAGGCCACAGGAAGCAUUGUGCACUGAUACAAAUGGGCCAACAUAUUACUGAAGAGCUAGAAAGGAAAAAAACGCCAGGACAUCCAGAUGAUGGUAAAAACAAGCUGGGAAGAUGACGGGAACUCAGAACUCAGUCCUUCAGAGAAAAGGAUGCCACCAUGUGGCUGUGGCCUUCAUCCAGUCACUAGAGGUAGAAUUUGAUUGAAUGAAUCACCAAAGGACUGAAAUUGAGUGGAUAGAUCUUGCAAAGCUUGCUGAAUAGGCUGUAGAGCCAACUUCAAAUCUUCAAGAUUAGCUGGCUGAUCAGAUUUUGCUUUAGUGGCUGUUUUAGCUAUAUCUUGUUGUUUAACCAUUCUAGGCCUUUUUGUAUAACAUUCUUUUCCUGGACAAGCCACCACCGAAAAAUUUGUUUUGGUAGUCUGAAUAUCCAUACCUGGAUCUUUGUUUGGCAUGUUUGACUUUUUAUUUUCCUCUUAAGUAAAUAGUAGUUGACGUUUAUCACCUCGUGGCUGUGGCCUGGCAGUCAGGGUCCAUACAAUCCAGUUAAAUCUAACUUUUUUAAAGGUAUAAAUCUAUUUUUUAAUAAAUAUGCAUCAACUUAUCAGAGUUAUAAGUAGUUUGGAAGAUAUACUUAGAUUGCUUGACUGACCUCUAUACUGAUCUGCAUAGAGUUUCUCCAGGAUUUGGUCGGAGCCAAGGAUUAAUAGUGUCUACAGGAUAGCAGCCAUCUUUAACUCCCCAGCUAGUCAUUAUUUUAAUGUGGCAUUUUCUUGUUGCAGGUUUUUAUGGAGAUGUUGUGUUUAUUCAGUGUUUUCAUUUAACCCUCUGUUUUUUACAGCAAAGUGCACUUCUUCUCCUACCUUCUUUAUUUCUUGCACAACUUGAGUAUUUUUGUCAUCAUUAAAACGAUUGA